CCUACGGGUGGCAGCAGUGGGGAAUAUUGGACAAUGGGGGGAACCCUGAUCCAGCCAUGCCGCGUGUGUGAAGAAGGCCCUCGGGUUGUAAAGCACUUUCAGUGAGGAAGAACGCCUGGUGGUUAAUACCCAUCAGGAAAGACAUCACUCACAGAAGAAGCACCGGCUAACUCCGUGCCAGCAGCCGCGGUAAUACGGAGGGUGCGAGCGUUAAUCGGAAUUACUGGGCGUAAAGCGCGCGUAGGUGGCUUGAUAAGCCGGUUGUGAAAGCCCCGGGCUCAACCUGGGAACGGCAUCCGGAACUGUCAAGCUAGAGUGCAGGAGAGGAAGGUAGAAUUCCCGGUGUAGCGGUGAAAUGCGUAGAGAUCGGGAGGAAUACCAGUGGCGAAGGCGGCCUUCUGGACUGACCCUGACACUGAGGUGCGAAAGCGUGGGUAGCAAACAGGAUUAGAUACCCUAGUAGUC
This 465-nucleotide ribosomal RNA is filed under the name Vreelandella stevensii. RNAcentral's name for it is "partial 16S ribosomal RNA". It matches the Rfam family "Bacterial small subunit ribosomal RNA", at positions 338 to 795 of the family's 1533-position model. The record is from RNAcentral. Lineage: Bacteria; Pseudomonadati; Pseudomonadota; Gammaproteobacteria; Oceanospirillales; Halomonadaceae.